Molecule: ribosomal RNA, 467 nt
Filed under: uncultured bacterium
Lineage: Bacteria
Description: partial 16S ribosomal RNA
Rfam family: Bacterial small subunit ribosomal RNA
Source: RNAcentral
GACGAACGCUGGCGGCGUGCUUAACACAUGCAAGUCGAACGGAAAGGCCCUGCUUUUGUGGGGUGCUCGAGUGGCGAACGGGUGAGUAACACGUGAGUACCUGCCCUUGACUUUGGGAUAACUUCAGGAAACUGGGGCUAAUACCGGAUAGGAGCUCCUGCUGCAUGGUGGGGGUUGGAAAGUUUCGGCGGUUGGGGAUGGACUCGCGGCUUAUCAGCUUGUUGGGGGGGUGGUGGCUUACCAAGGCUUUGACGGGUAGCCGGCCUGAGAGGGUGACCGGCCACAUUGGGACUGAGAUACGGCCCAGACUCCUACGGGAGGCAGCAGUGGGGAAUAUUGAACAGUGGGCGGAGGCCUGAUGAAGCAACGCCGCGUGCGGGAUGACGGCCUUCGGGUUGUAAACCGCUUUAGCCUGUGACGAAGCGUGAGUGACGGUAAUGGGUAAAGAAGCACCGGCUAACUACGUG